GCACUGCUGAGGAGUCCCAUGGUAGGACGAAAUGGCCGUCCAGUGC
Non-coding RNA from Schistosoma rodhaini, 46 nucleotides. The record is from Rfam. NCBI's taxonomy places the organism in Eukaryota, Metazoa, Platyhelminthes, Trematoda, Strigeidida, Schistosomatidae.